RNAcentral lists this long non-coding RNA (1449 nucleotides) under Oryza sativa Indica Group (long-grained rice). Its description in RNAcentral is "lncRNA OsZS97_12G002080". Lineage: Eukaryota; Viridiplantae; Streptophyta; Magnoliopsida; Poales; Poaceae. The record is from RNAcentral.
UUCCUGGAUCCAGGUGACCAGGUCGGACAGCUGCGGUCAACGCAAACAACGAGUAAACGCAAGGCUGCAAGCAGAAAGGGUCAACGCGAACAACGAGUAAACGCAAGGCUGCAAGAAGAAAGGCGCAAGGAUAUGGCCUUUGCUGAAUCAAUAUGGACCUUUAUGCCAGGAAAGAAGGGAUCAGUUGUUCAGGGGCCAAACACUAGAACUCUAACAAAUGCUCAUGAUGGUAUCUUGGAUGAUAUUAAUUGUGCUCAGAUUGCUGGGAAGCAUGUGGGAGAUCAUUCCAAUUGUGCUAAUGUCAUCAAGCGGAUAGGUCCGCUGGGCCAUCAUCAGACAACAAUUUUGGAAAAUCAAUUUGGGUUACCUUCACUUGUUGAUAAGGCCACAGCUAACACAACAAAUCUUGUGGCAUCUGCGUCAUCUUCCAUGACACCCGAUGAAAUAGGAGAGGGGAAAAACAAUCCAGAUGAGGUGUUUGUAUGUAUAUGUGGAGAGAAGCUUUUAUUCCAUACAAACUUCAAUACAACGGCAGUAAAAGAACUUGUCGUAUUUGCUCUCCAGAGGAGGAACAUCAAGUAUUGUGAUAUUUAUGUAACAUGGUACAGAAAAGUUCUGAAAGGAGAUGAGAUCUUGAGCUCCAUACCUAUCCACACGAAUACGCAUAUUCAUGUGACACCCAGACUGAGGGGUGGAGAGUUAAUUCCAAUGGAAUAUGAGCGUAUGGAUGAACUUAUUGACCGUGCGGUCCGUGACAAUAAUAAUGACCUUUUCUAUUAUGUGAACCUUCCCCCAGAAUUGAUAAACCCUUAUAAGGAUACAUGGGUAACUUUUCUAAGUGAUUUCUCGAGAUAUAUCAUACACCAACUAUUGGUAUGUGUUUCCCGUGAUGGUCACCAGCGGAAUAUUACUUGGUAUGGUACUUCUGAUCUCCGGGACGUACUGAUUUCAAGCGGGCAUGUUAGGAUCAGCCCCCAUAUCGUCGAAAAUACAUACACCCCUAUUGGUGGUAGACUUGAUUAUCUUAAGCUAGUUUCAAUUCUAAAGGAUAAAUUCGUCGAUAAUUUACAAGGUUCUUCCUCCCCUUGCCAUCUGAACAAUUUACUUUCUGUAUUGUGCACUACUUCCCAUGAAACUUAUGGAAGAUCCGAUCUAUUCAUUACAUUUUUUAUAAACCAUCCGUGCUUGUUAUCAUGUGGAGAAAGAGUUGCACGAUACCUUCAAUAUGAUCAUAUGAUUACAAAUCUUGUGCAACGCGAUCUUCGCAAAUUUAAGCAAUAUUUGAAUGAUACUUUUGGAGAUCCUCCUUCUUGGAUCGCUGAUAUCAGCUGGGUUCCUGACAUGUGGAAGACAUACAAUUAUAGUCCUAAUAACAACUCAACCACGUACCAUUUUGCUGCUAUCUUGCUUUCUGAGGUGGAAGAGGACGGUUUCAUGGAGUCCUUUUAG